Molecule: transfer RNA, 73 nt
Filed under: Salvia splendens (bonfire salvia)
Lineage: Eukaryota; Viridiplantae; Streptophyta; Magnoliopsida; Lamiales; Lamiaceae
Rfam family: tRNA
About the family: Transfer RNA (tRNA) molecules are approximately 80 nucleotides in length.
Source: Rfam by way of RNAcentral
GCGCCAAUGGCCUAAUGGAUAAGGCGUCUAACUUCUAAUAAGGCGAUUGUGGGUUCGAGUCCUACUGGGCGUG